RNAcentral lists this ribosomal RNA (275 nucleotides) under uncultured bacterium. RNAcentral describes it as "partial 16S ribosomal RNA". It matches the Rfam family "Bacterial small subunit ribosomal RNA", at positions 338 to 610 of the family's 1533-position model. The record is from RNAcentral.
CCUACGGGUGGCUGCAGUAAGGAAUAUUGGUCAAUGGGCGCAAGCCUGAACCAGCCAUGCCGCGUGCAGGAAGACGGCCUUAUGGGUUGUAAACUGCUUUUAAUCAGGAAUAAACCCCCGUUCGUGAGCGGGGUUGAAGGUACUGGUUGAAUAAGCACCGGCUAACUCCGUGCCAGCAGCCGCGGUAAUACGGAGGGUGCAAGCGUUAUCCGGAUUUAUUGGGUUUAAAGGGUGCGCAGGCGGGCUGAUCAGUCAGUGGUGAAACCCCGGGGCUC